GAUGAACGCUAGCGGCAGGCCUAACACAUGCAAGUCGAGGGGUAGAGUAGCAAUACUUUAGACCGGCGCACGGGUGCGUAACGCGUAUGCAACCUUCCUAUAACUGGGGCAUAGCUCGGCGAACGUCGAAUUAAUACCCCAUAAGAUCACGAGAUGGCAUCUGAUUGUGAUUAAAGCUCCGGCGGUUAUAGAUGGGCAUGCGUAUCAUUAGCUAGUUGGCGAGGUAAUGGCUCACCAAGGCUACGAUGAUUAGGGGGUCUGAGAGGAUGAUCCCCCACACUGGAACUGAGACACGGUCCAGACUCCUACGGGAGGCAGCAGUGAGGAAUAUUGGUCAAUGGGGGCAACCCUGAACCAGCCAUGCCGCGUGAAGGAUGAAGGCCCUACGGGUUGUAAACUUCUUUUAUUUGGGAAGAAAUGUGAGUACGUGUACUUACUUGACGGUACCAAAGGAAUAAGCAUCGGCUAACUCCGUGCCAGCAGCCGCAGUAA
RNAcentral lists this ribosomal RNA (492 nucleotides) under uncultured bacterium. RNAcentral describes it as "partial 16S ribosomal RNA". It matches the Rfam family "Bacterial small subunit ribosomal RNA", at positions 28 to 523 of the family's 1533-position model. The record is from RNAcentral.